Sapajus apella (tufted capuchin) is the source of this 103-nucleotide long non-coding RNA. RefSeq lists it as uncharacterized. Lineage: Eukaryota; Metazoa; Chordata; Mammalia; Primates; Cebidae. The transcript has 2 exons. The record is from RefSeq and is a predicted model, not a curated record.
UGAGGCAUGAGAAUCGCUUGAACCCAGGAGGCAGAGGCUGCAGCGAGUCGAGAUCUGGCCAGUGCACUCCAGCCUGGGUGACAGAGCAAGACUCUGUCUCAAA